UACGGAGGGAGCUAGCGUUUGUUCGGAAUUACUGGGCGUAAAGCGCACGUAGGCGGCUUUGUAAGUUAGAGGUGAAAGCCCGGGGCUCAACUCCGGAACUGCCUUUAAGACUGCAUCGCUUGAAUCCAGGAGAGGUGAGUGGAAUUCCGAGUGUAGAGGUGAAAUUCGUAGAUAUUCGGAAGAACACCAGUGGCGAAGGCGGCUCACUGGACUGGUAUUGACGCUGAGGUGCGAAAGCGUGGGGAGCAACAGG
RNAcentral lists this ribosomal RNA (253 nucleotides) under uncultured bacterium. Its description in RNAcentral is "partial 16S ribosomal RNA". It matches the Rfam family "Bacterial small subunit ribosomal RNA", at positions 524 to 775 of the family's 1533-position model. The record is from RNAcentral.